This 349-nucleotide ribosomal RNA is filed under the name Acetobacter pasteurianus. Its description in RNAcentral is "bacterial SSU rRNA". It matches the Rfam family "Bacterial small subunit ribosomal RNA", at positions 38 to 414 of the family's 1533-position model. Lineage: Bacteria; Pseudomonadati; Pseudomonadota; Alphaproteobacteria; Acetobacterales; Acetobacteraceae. The record is from RNAcentral.
AGGGGGCUGCUUAACCAUGCCAGUCGCACGAAGGUUUCGGCCUUAGUGGCGGACGGGUGAGUAACGCGUAGGUAUCUAUCCAUGGGUGGGGGAUAACACUGGGAAACUGGUGCUAAUACCGCAUGACACCUGAGGGUCAAAGGCGUAAGUCGCCUGUGGAGGAGCCUGCGUUUGAUUAGCUAGUUGGUGGGGUAAAGGCCUACCAAGGCGAUGAUCAAUAGCUGGUUUGAGAGGAUGAUCAGCCACACUGGGAUUGAGACACGGGCCAGAGUCCUACGGGAGGCAGCAGUGGGGAAUAUUGGACAAUGGGGGUAACCCUGACCCAGCCCUGCCGCGUGUGUGAAGAAGG